RNAcentral lists this long non-coding RNA (616 nucleotides) under Ornithorhynchus anatinus (platypus). RNAcentral's name for it is "lncRNA (ENSOANG00000049701.1)". The record is from RNAcentral. Lineage: Eukaryota; Metazoa; Chordata; Mammalia; Monotremata; Ornithorhynchidae.
UGCUAGUCGGCUACCUUGUUUUCAACCAUUUUGCCUUGGUUUACAGUUCUUAAUGGGUUCUCUACGAAGUGAAUAUCCAGAGUGUAGACACCACCGGCAAUACGUGCAAACUCUUUCAGAGAUUCCUCUUGGAACAGUGCUCCCCGGAAGGGAGAGUGACAUCUCGGCGCUCACCUCAUCGAAGGGAAAGAAGCUACCUGUCCUCAUCCUUUGCAGAUCUAACUGUGCCUUUCAUCGAGCCCGGCCAUUUGGUAGACAUCAGCCCCACCGGGAGCCCCCCGCCUGGCUCUGCUCGAGUGCAGAUGAAGAUCCCUGGCCCGACUCCAAGCCCGCUGAGGUGUUAUCUGAUAUUUUAUUUAUCCAGCCCUAAAUUUGGGGAUGCAGGCAUUAUAAAUUGUUCACCAAGUUGUCAGGUGCCAAGGAGCCGAAGCAGAUGCUGCCGCACCUGGGUCAAAGGAUGACCGACUGUAACACAAGCUGGCUGAUUAUUUCCUCUGAACAGAAGGUAGGUCAUGACCAGGUUAAAUCAAUUGACCUCAUCCUGACAAUUCUAGGCCAGAAGCUGAAAACUCAAAUUCUCCUUCCAGGCUAAAGAGCAAGGAAAAUGUCAAUUAAU